This 705-nucleotide long non-coding RNA is filed under the name Equus caballus (horse). Its description in RNAcentral is "lncRNA (ENSECAG00000047444.1)". Lineage: Eukaryota; Metazoa; Chordata; Mammalia; Perissodactyla; Equidae. The record is from RNAcentral.
UACAGCAUUACUCAUCAUUCCAUAAAGAAAGAAAAACUAGAAACAAUUUGAAUAUCCACCAUAAAAGAAAUAGUUCAGGAAAAAUAGUUUGCAGAGAAUUUUAAAUAUAGAGGAAUGCUUAUAAUAAAAUGCUAGGAGAAAAAGAGCAAGAUAUGAAAUGAUCUCAACUAUGACAUGAGUAAGAAAAACUGAAUGUAGAAUUAUACGUAGUUUUUUUACUUCUGUUAUUUUAAGACCUUCCAAAAUCUCUACAAUAUGCAAAUACCGCUUUAAUGAUGAGGGAAAAAAUGGCGCUCUUUUGGCUGUAAUCUGAGAGAGGGUGAUGGGGCCUUGGCAUGCAGAGAUGAGACGGUGGAAGGAACAGUCCCAGCACUGAGACUUGGGUGCCAAGCCCGCACAGCUUAAGAGCAGAGGAGGAGCGUGCUUUUGUCAAAAGCGAUUGGACAUCUGAGGACAAGAACAUGACUGAAACAACCCAUCUCUCUAAUUCACUGUGUUCUACUUCAUCAGCAUCACUCCGAUAUUAUCAUCAUCUUCAUCAUAACCUCCAUCUAAAAAAGAUUUAUUACACAGUGUUUGCGUCUGUGGUCAAUAUAUAAUACAGACAAGACAAGUGCUCCCUUCCUGCUAUAGAUGAGUUUGCAAUUUAUAAAGGAGUGUGGUGCAGAGGAAACACCUUAUGCUUUGAAAUAAAACCAAACUGGG